RNAcentral lists this antisense RNA (75 nucleotides) under Actinoplanes sp. N902-109. RNAcentral's name for it is "ASpks TB sRNA". It matches the Rfam family "ASpks TB sRNA". The record is from Rfam by way of RNAcentral. Lineage: Bacteria; Bacillati; Actinomycetota; Actinomycetes; Micromonosporales; Micromonosporaceae.
CUUGACCGAGCCGAGCCACAGCGGCGCCUGCCCGGCCCGUUCCUGCCCGUACGUGGCCAGCAGCGCCCCCGCCUC